Molecule: unclassified non-coding RNA, 336 nt
Filed under: soil metagenome
Description: partial contains 5.8S ribosomal RNA, internal transcribed spacer 2, and large subunit ribosomal RNA
Rfam family: 5.8S ribosomal RNA (bases 1-120)
Source: RNAcentral
GAUGAAGAACGUAGCGAAAUGCGAUAAGUAAUGUGAAUUGCAGAAUUCAGUGAAUCAUCGAAUCUUUGAACGCACAUUGCGCCCGCCAGUAUUCUGGCGGGCAUGCCUGUUCGAGCGUCAUUUCAACCAUCAAGCCCCCGGCUUGUGUUGGGGACCUGCGGCUGCCGCAGGCCCUGAAAAGCAGUGGCGGGCUCGCUGUCACACCGAGCGUAGUAGCAUACAUCUCGCUCUGGGCGUGCUGCGGGUUCCGGCCGUUAAACCACCUUCAUAACCCAAGGUUGACCUCGGAUCAGGUAGGAAGACCCGCCGAACUUAAGCAUAUCAAUAAGCGGAGGA